Molecule: long non-coding RNA, 585 nt
Organism: Equus caballus (horse)
Lineage: Eukaryota; Metazoa; Chordata; Mammalia; Perissodactyla; Equidae
Source: Ensembl
UGGAGGGCUGGUCGUGAGCGGGACGGGUGGGAAGGAGAGGAAGUCAUCCGGGAGCUCUUGGUCAAACUGGGCAGAAGAUGAGAAAACUGAAGUCCAGAGCGUUUAAAGAACUUGCCUGAGUGGCAGAGUAGGAAGUAGAACUUCGGUCUCUUGCUAAUCAGCUCAUUUCUUUACCCGUAUCACCAAACCAAGAUGGACAACGUGGCUUCAAAAAUUUUUUAAAGGGUGCUUGUGUGUGUGAGACGUUUGUGGAUGGGGGCUUUCCCAGGCUGGUCAGAUUUACCAUCUCAUCUGCUGAUCUCCAAAUGGAAGAUGAGCAGCGCCCGCCACACCCACCAAUGAUCAGAUUCCAGUUGGAGGGCCUGAGUGACUUCUUCCUCUUCCUCCCUGAGAAGAUUGUUUCCAGGAGCAGCUGUAGGACUGAUAGAGAGAACUAAUCAAGGAGCAUGGUUUGUUCAUUAUGAGGGCAAGGCUGGGCACAUUCCUAGCGUCCCUGCUGCUGGCUGCAUCCGGCGGGUCCCUGGGUUUUGACUUGAGCUCUCUGCACAUUCACCAGCCCUAUCUCUUCCUGUGCCCACACCGCAC